This 243-nucleotide ribosomal RNA is filed under the name uncultured bacterium. RNAcentral describes it as "partial 16S ribosomal RNA". It matches the Rfam family "Bacterial small subunit ribosomal RNA", at positions 15 to 260 of the family's 1533-position model. The record is from RNAcentral.
GAUCAUGGCUCAGAUUGAACGCUGGCGGCAGGCCUAACACAUGCAAGUCGAGCGGUAGAGAGAAGCUUGCUUCUCUUGAGAGCGGCGGACGGGUGAGUAAUGCCUAGGAAUCUGCCUGGUAGUGGGGGAUAACGUCCGGAAACGGACGCUAAUACCGCAUACGUCCUACGGGAGAAAGCAGGGGACCUUCGGGCCUUGCGCUAUCAGAUGAGCCUAGGUCGGAUUAGCUAGUUGGUGGGGUAA